CUCUUUCAUUGUUGUUUAACUGUUUGUUUUUCUUCCUGAGAGUACUACAGGUUUUAUCUUUUCAGGCUCAACAGCUGUGACACCAGGCGAACUUUCAAAGAUGCCGCGGAGAGGAAAGAGAUCACAGGCUCAAAAAAUUCGUUGGAGGAAGUUCGACCUGGAGGAUGAACAGACCAGACCCUCCAGGAUUAACCAGGUUGAACAGGCAAGCACCAGUGCAGCUGUAGCUCAGUUUUCAGGUAGAACGUAUGUAGAAGGUGGUGAUAUUGCAUCCAGGGUUGUGUCUGUGCAGGCAUCUCAUUGUCAGGGUGAUAUUAGGUAUGACAGUUUCUCUAGAAAUCACCAGUGCACGUGUGUAGCGUUGACAUUUUUGGCAAACCAGAGUGAAGGGAUUGCGUUCAAGAUGCCUGAUCUUGAUAGAGUUUUAGAGGAGGGAGAUGCGUUAUAUAUCAGCAUUAAAUUGCAGCUUAUUGCUGAAGGACGGUUUAAAUUCAACCACCUGACCAUGGAGGAAGUACCGUUGAGGGUUUCAUCAUUUAACCGGACAUACGAUGUGCUGAAGUCAGGAGUGAUGCAUGG
This is a long non-coding RNA of Rhinichthys klamathensis goyatoka, 579 nucleotides long. RefSeq lists it as uncharacterized. The record is from RefSeq and is a predicted model, not a curated record. The transcript is spliced from 3 exons. NCBI's taxonomy places the organism in Eukaryota, Metazoa, Chordata, Actinopteri, Cypriniformes, Leuciscidae.